GCAAGUCGAACGAUGAAGCCCUUCGGGGUGGAUUAGUGGCGAACGGGUGAGUAACACGUGGGCAAUCUGCCCUGCACUCUGGGACAAGCCCUGGAAACGGGGUCUAAUACCGGAUACGACCACUGACCGCAUGGUUGGUGGUGGAAAGCUCCGGCGGUGCAGGAUGAGCCCGCGGCCUAUCAGCUUGUUGGUGGGGUAAUGGCCUACCAAGGCGACGACGGGUAGCCGGCCUGAGAGGGCGACCGGCCACACUGGGACUGAGACACGGCCCAGACUCCUACGGGAGGCAGCAGUGGGGAAUAUUGCACAAUGGGCGAAAGCCUGAUGCAGCGACGCCGCGUGAGGGAUGACGGCCUUCGGGUUGUAAACCUCUUUCAGCAGGGAAGAAGCGAGAGUGACGGUACCUGCAGAAGAAGCGCCGGCUAACUACGUGCCAGCAGCCGCGGUAAUACGUAGGGCGCAAGCGUUGUCCGGAAUUAUUGGGCGUAAAGAGCUCGUAGGCGGCUUGUCACGUCCGAUGUGAAAGCCCGGGGCUUAACCCCGGGUCUGCAUUCGAUACGGGCAGGCUAGAGUUCGGUAGGGGAGAUCGGAAUUCCUGGUGUAGCGGUGAAAUGCGCAGAUAUCAGGAGGAACACCGGUGGCGAAAGCGGAUCUCUGGGCCGAUACUGACGCUGAGGAGCGAAAGCGUGGGGAGCGAACAGGAUUAGAUACCCUGGUAGUCCACGCCGUAAACGUUGGGAACUAGGUGUGGGCGACAUUCCACGUCGUCCGUGCCGCAGCUAACGCAUU
RNAcentral lists this ribosomal RNA (789 nucleotides) under Streptomyces griseocarneus. RNAcentral's name for it is "bacterial SSU rRNA". It matches the Rfam family "Bacterial small subunit ribosomal RNA", at positions 57 to 861 of the family's 1533-position model. The record is from RNAcentral. Lineage: Bacteria; Bacillati; Actinomycetota; Actinomycetes; Kitasatosporales; Streptomycetaceae.